GAUGAACGCUGGCGGCGUGCCUAAUACAUGCAAGUCGAGCGAACAGACGAGGAGCUUGCUCCUCUGACGUUAGCGGCGGACGGGUGAGUAACACGUGGAUAACCUACCUAUAAGACUGGGAUAACUUCGGGAAACCGGAGCUAAUACCGGAUAAUAUAUUGAACCGCAUGGUUCAAGAGUGAAAGACGGUUUUGCUGUCACUUAUAGAUGGAUCCGCGCCGCAUUAGCUAGUUGGUAAGGUAACGGCUUACCAAGGCAACGAUGCGUAGCCGACCUGAGAGGGUGAUCGGCCACACUGGAACUGAGACACGGUCCAGACUCCUACGGGAGGCAGCAGUAGGGAAUCUUCCGCAAAGGGCGAAAGCCUGACGGAGCAACGCCGCGUGAGUGAUGAAGGUCUUCGGAUCGUAAAACUCUGUUAUUAGGGAAGAACAAAUGUGUAAGUAACUAUGCACGUCUUGACGGUACCUAAUCAGAAAGCCACGGCUAACUACGUG
Molecule: ribosomal RNA, 497 nt
Filed under: uncultured bacterium
Lineage: Bacteria
Description: partial 16S ribosomal RNA
Rfam family: Bacterial small subunit ribosomal RNA
Source: RNAcentral